This 359-nucleotide long non-coding RNA is filed under the name Amphibalanus amphitrite. RNAcentral describes it as "uncharacterized LOC122370386". The record is from RNAcentral. Lineage: Eukaryota; Metazoa; Arthropoda; Thecostraca; Balanomorpha; Balanidae.
GACGUUUCUGACUCUGCAUCUUGCUCUGCAUCGCCGUCGUUGGUGUCCGCAACAAGAUAGUGGACGGACGUAGGCCACUUUCGAGCUGGUCAGCUUGCAACCCGCAAGAUGCCGAUUCCCAUCGUCAACAACCCGCUGGCGGCCUUGCUGCCUCUGGCCAUGUUCUUCGGCGGCUGGUACUUGGACAAGCUGGAGGACCAGAGGAUGACCAUGUUCAGGAACAAAUCUGCGCUAUACGGCAGGACGCUCAAGCCGGGAGAGAAGGAGCCUUGGCCAUAAGCCAUUACUGAGGACGGACGUUAAUACGGGAAGUGAGCUAGUGUCAUUUGCUUGUGUACAAUACAUUAAUUGUGGGAGGA